AGUCAAAAAUCUGUUCAUCUGAAUCUACAGUAAUGGCUGAUCGAACUUUGAGGAGAUGAUGGAAACUUCACCUGUUCAUAUACACUUUCCGGCGAACGCUCUCCUACGCCGGCGGAGUCCUGCAAGCUCCGGCCUUUUCGUAAAGAGGAAACUACGAUUGAGAGCUGAGCGAAUCGGCGACGAGAACGACCCCUUUCUCCAAUCAGCCAUAGAUUCAGCAUCUCUUCGUGUACAAGAAACCCACCGAGCAGAGCCUCUGUUCAUCGAUCCAUAUGCCGAUUGCUUUCUGCAACCUAAUGAGAGGCGGAAGAAUGUGAAUGAACGCGAGCGACAUUACUGCCUUGCAACGAAGUUCAUCGAUGAUAAGUUGUUAGAUAUUGCUAAUGGCAUUGAUGGACUGAAGCAAGUUGUACUACUCACUGAUGGGAUGGACACUCGGCCCUACAGGCUUAAUUGGCCAACUUCGACCAUGAUUUUUGAUAUUUCACCGGAAAGGGUGUUUAAAUUCUCAUCGGAGAAGCUACAAGGUGUUGGGGCUAGGAUCCCUAGAGGGUGCUUGUUCUCUCAUGUGUCCAUGGAAUCCACAAAUAUAGAGCAAAGUUUAUGCUCGAAAGGGUUCAGUGGAAAUCGGCCAAGUAUAUGGGCAAUCCAGGGAUUACCUCUCUUGACAUUGUCAAGCUUUGAAGAUAUUCUAUCGGUCGUUAGUAGCAUGGCCAUGAACGAAUGUUGUUUCUUUGGGGAGCUGCCUUGCUGGUUAGCUCAGACGGAGAACAUGGUCAAGCCGGAUGCGACGAAAUGGAUGGACAAACUUUUCAUGAGCAAUGGUUUUCGGGUGGAUAGAGCUAGCUACGAGGACAUUGCGACGAGCUUAGGUAGGGAAAUGCCGACAGGAAAGUACGAGAACAUAUUGUUCGUGGCUCAACAGCUUAGGUUCUCUGAUGAUCAGAUGGAGACAUGGAGACGAGAGUUUCAGAGGAUCGAGGAAGACGGGGAUGAAGAAGGAUUCGAAGAGCUGUGAAACACAACCUGCACCAUACAACUUUCCUGUGCUAGAGAAUUAUGUACCAUACAACAACCUUUGGAUGGAUGGGGAAGAAAAACUCAGCAACUAACCUAAGAAUGGGUGCAGGUUGAACAUGCUUCUCUCACUCUCUCUCUCUCUCUCUCUCCCUCUGGAUGAAUGGGGAAGAAAAACUCAGCAACUAACCUAAGAAUGGGUGCAGGUUGAACAUACUUCUCCCUCUCUCUCUCUCUCUCUGUAUGAUAUGGAAGCCAUUCAUCUCUCAUCCAAAUCCCAUAUCGGAUGAAAGGAACACAAAAGAAGAAAGAAUCCUUUUUCCCAGGGCCAUUAAACAACAAUGUAACUCAUGAACAAAGACAUUAUGUUGACAGACAUUCACUGAUUCUCA
Molecule: RNA transcript, 1409 nt
Organism: Tarenaya hassleriana
Lineage: Eukaryota; Viridiplantae; Streptophyta; Magnoliopsida; Brassicales; Cleomaceae
Gene name: putative S-adenosyl-L-methionine-dependent methyltransferase MSMEG_1480/MSMEI_1444
Exons: 8
Source: RefSeq, a predicted model, not a curated record